This 411-nucleotide unclassified non-coding RNA is filed under the name Mortierella sp. RNAcentral's name for it is "partial contains 5.8S ribosomal RNA, internal transcribed spacer 2, and large subunit ribosomal RNA". The record is from RNAcentral. Lineage: Eukaryota; Fungi; Mortierellomycota; Mortierellomycetes; Mortierellales; Mortierellaceae.
CGCACAUUGCGCUCUCUGGUAUUCCGGAGAGCAUGCUUGUUUGAGUAUCAGUAAAAACACCCUCAACUCCCCUCUCCCUGUUGUUCUCUCUGAGAAACACGUGCGGGGCAGGGGGGGUUGGACUUGAGCGAUUCCAACGGCGGUGGACAGGUCGAUCUUUUUUGGUCGACUCGUGAAACCGCUGGCGGGCCGCUUGAAAUGCAGGUGCGGCAGGACACAUCUUCUGAGCUAUAAGCAUUACUUAUUUAGUCCCGUUAAACGGAUUAUCUCUAUUGCUGCAGCUAAUAUAAAGGUCGAUUGUUCUUGUGCCCGACUGAUGCAGGAAAAUGAAGGGCGGGUCUUUGUUAAUUCCAAGACGCGUCCUUUGUUCAACUCGAUCUCAAAUCAAGCAAGACUACCCGCUGAACUUAA